AUAUAUAUAUAUAUAUAUAUAUAUAUAUAUAUAUAGGAAACCUUUGAUGAAAUAUUCAAUUUUAAGAAAUAUGAAACUUUAAAAUGGAACUUAAAGAAUGGAAGAACAAACAAAUGAUUUUCAAGUGGCUUCGGUAACAUGUUGAAGAUGAAAUAAUCAAAUAACUGUUGGAAGACUACAGAACUGAGAACUGGUUUGGUCUUAACGUAUUGUGAUCAGCUUUGUGGUCAAUGGGGUCGGUGAUGUCACAUGGAUUAGUCAGUGUAUUGUAUUUUCACGAUUUUAAGAAUGGAAAAUACAUUUUGAAUUCAUGGACUUUUUGACUCUGCUGUGUAUGUGAAAAUGUGUUUGCUAUAGAAAUGAAAAGGGAUGGAUGUGGUUGUAACAAAGAACUCAUACAGUCCAAUCAGCCUGCUAUACCAGCCUGAUAAGCCAAUCACUGUAUUAUGGUCUCAGGUCUGUUUGUACCCUCUUGCCUACUCCAAUGACCAUACUGUAGGUAGGCAAGACAGUACAAACUGAUCUGGGACCAGGCUAAUAUCACUAGUCUUUAGCCUCAAAGAACCAGGUUGUCAAUUUAGUUCAAAACAUAGAUAUGGAAUGACAUAGAUUCUAUUUCUAUGUUUUAAAGAUCGACUCUGGUCUCCAUGCAGUAAGUGUGUUCUGUUUAGUGUUUGUUAGCCUUUCUAGGGAUUUACUAUUCUGUAAUAGUUUAGCAUCCAUAGACCCAUCUAGAGCGCUGUCUGUAUGGACUAUUUUUGUAUCUCAAAAAAGAAAAAUUACAUUUAAGAAUAUCAAGAAAUUACCUGGAAGUGAGUUAAAAGUACAUGUAUUUAUGUUUUAUUGUUGCCAAAGAGAAGUAUUCAGUGAAGUCUGGGGGGCAAAUAGGAACAUAGGAUAUUUGAUCUAGAUUGUUUUAACCCACUAGUGGUGAGACUACAGCCUGGGUACCAGGACUAGUUUAGGGAUGCUGUCAGUAAGAUGUGCCCUUGUCGUGAUUUAAACGAGCUGGACUAGUUUAGGGAUGAUGUCAGUAAGAUGUGUCCUGGUCGUGAUUUGAACGAGCAGGACUAGUUUAGGGAUGCUGUCAGUAAGAUGUGCCCUGGUCGUGAUUUAAACGAGCUGGACUAGUUUAGGGAUGAUGUCAGUAAGAUGUGUCCUGGUCGUGAUUUAAACGAGCAGGACUAGUUUAGGGAUGAUGUCAGUAAGAUGUGUCCUGGUCGUGAUUUAAACAAACAGGACUAGUUUAGGGAUGCUGUCAGUAAGAUGUGCCCUGGUCGUGAUUUAAACAAACAGGACUAGUAUGGGGAUGCUGUCAGUAAGAUGUGCCCUGGUCGUGAUUUAAACAAACAGGACUAGUAUGGGGAUGCUGUCAGUAAGAUGUGCCCUGGUCGUGAUUUAAACAAACAGGACUAGUAUGGGGAUGAUGUCAGUAAGAUGUGCCCUGGUCGUGAUUUAAACAAACAGGACUAGUAUGGGGAUGCUGUCAGAUGUGCCCCACCCCACUCUACUUUCUGUACGUUAUGAAAUAUAAAUAAAGUGUUUUACACA
Oncorhynchus tshawytscha (Chinook salmon) is the source of this 1551-nucleotide long non-coding RNA. Lineage: Eukaryota; Metazoa; Chordata; Actinopteri; Salmoniformes; Salmonidae. The record is from Ensembl.